RNAcentral lists this long non-coding RNA (565 nucleotides) under Panax ginseng (ginseng). RNAcentral's name for it is "long non-coding RNA (PGIN_LNC007082)". Lineage: Eukaryota; Viridiplantae; Streptophyta; Magnoliopsida; Apiales; Araliaceae. The record is from RNAcentral.
CUCUUUUCACAUUUCACUUAUUUAAAUUAAGUUAAAUUCCCAACCUUUAUUUAAUUAUUUAAUAUUUCCCUUAAAAGAAAUAUUACUAAUAUUCGGAUAUCACAAGAUGGACAGCCAUUUGCUCACUGAAGAGCUAGACUCCCGACUACCCUGUCGUAGUGAUAAUUCGUCGAACCCGCAGAAGUAUGAGUCAAUUAAUCCCUACAAGGUUCUUCUCUUGUGUUGAGGGAGUUUUUAGGAUCUAUGGUUUAUAUCUUGUUGAAGGCUUUAUGAGGGUGCAAAUUUUUGAGGCUUUGAGAGGGUUUCGAGGCCUCAAGUUCCGGGCCUUUGGGACAAACUCCUCCUCCUGUUCACCCCCUUCAACUGAGUUGCACUCGGUUUGCAGCGGUGCCUGAUCAUAAGACACAUUUUUCCUUUGCGUUCUCCAUCAAUUUGAUGUAAUGUUUCGCUCUUAGUAUUGGAGGUCCUCUCAGGUCUGAUACAUUUGGAUCCAUCUACAAACAAAUAAGAGUCUACAUUAAUAUCCAGGCAAUUAUUAUAAUAUCCAUUUAGAUGAGCUACAAAC